Molecule: ribosomal RNA, 776 nt
Filed under: uncultured Neocallimastigales
Lineage: Eukaryota; Fungi; Neocallimastigomycota; Neocallimastigomycetes; Neocallimastigales
Description: partial large subunit ribosomal RNA
Rfam family: Eukaryotic large subunit ribosomal RNA
Source: RNAcentral
CGCAUCUGUGCAUGCAGCAUAUCAAUAAGCGGAGGAAAAGAAACUAACAAGGAUUCCCCUAGUAACGGCGAGUGAAGCGGGAAGAGCUCAAAUUUGAAAUCUUAAAGGGUUUCCCUUUACGAAUUGUAGUUUAAAGAAGUGUUUUCUGUUGAGGUUUUGGUAAAAGUUCUUUGGAAUAGGACAUCAUAGAGGGUGAGAAUCCCGUAUUUGACCUUUACUUUCAACUUUGUGAUACACUUUCAAAGAGUCGGAUUGUUUGGGAAUGCAGUCCAAAAUGGGUGGUAAAUUUCAUCUAAAGCUAAAUAUUGGCGAGAGACCGAUAGCGAACAAGUACCGUGAGGGAGAGAUGAAAAGAACUUUGAAAAGAGAGUUAAACAGUACGUGAAAUUUGUCAAAAGGGAAGCGUUUGACACCAGUGUUGUUUUUCUGAAAAUCAAUUAAAGAACUGUUUAUGCUAAGCUGUUUAGACUUUAUCAGCUAAUCUGUUUAGUUUCGAGCUUUUCUUUAAUGCACUUUUCAGUUAACAAGUCAACAUCAAUUUCUUCUGCUGUAAAAAAGCUUGAGGAAGGUGGCUUGAGAUUCGUCUUAAGUGUUUAUAGCCUCUUGCCUAUGCAGUCGGAGAGAUUGAGGUCUGCAGCGUAGAUCCUUCGGGGCUAAAUGCAUUUGUGCUAAGUUAUAGCAUUUUAUAGACAACUUGUUGACUAUGAUUUGUCUUGUAGCUUACUCGCUUAUGUUAUUUUACCUACGCUUAGGAUGUUGACGAGACUGUCGAUCUC